Long non-coding RNA from Gorilla gorilla gorilla (western lowland gorilla), 868 nucleotides. RefSeq lists it as uncharacterized. The transcript has 3 exons. NCBI's taxonomy places the organism in Eukaryota, Metazoa, Chordata, Mammalia, Primates, Hominidae. The record is from RefSeq and is a predicted model, not a curated record.
GGAUCUCGAACCUGGGGUCUUGAAGAGGCCCGCGCUUGGGGUUUUUAGGCAACAGCAGGCCUCCAAGCAGAGUCCUGGUGUCCCGGACCGAAUCACUCCCCGAGAGACGGGCAAGGAGAUGGACCGCCAGCCAGGAAUAAGGGGAACCCUUCGCUGGGCAAACGAUAGUUUCCAAACUUAAGGUUGUGGAUGAAACUUUUUGGUGCGGCUGCUGCAGGGGCCCCAGCCCCGGGGUGCUGCUGACCCGAGGCAAGGGAGCCGGCGCACUCACGCCUAGCCGCUAAGGAGUCUGCGGUGUCGGCGAAAGCUCCGGACAUGAUUUUGGAAGAUACGGGGUUUCUCCAUGUUGAUGUCAGACUGGUCUCGAACUCCCGACCUCAGGUGAUCCACCCGCCUCGGCCCCCCAAAGUGCUGGCAUUACAAGCGAGAUACCUGAGUGAGGCAUGGUAAACCAGUCCCAGCAGACCACUCCCUGAAGAUGUUGGCUUGAUAUGUGCUGGAAGAUGAGAAAGCAUACAGAAUGCAGGACAACAUAAAGAAAACAGAACCGAGAAGUUAUGCUAAGUAUAUAAACAAACCAAGAGUAUGGAUUGGAAUGCUGUUUUCUUUGGACAGAUCAAUAUUCUUUUGGAAAGAUAGAAUGAAGCUGAAUAAGUUGCAGAAAAGGUCAAAUAAAAUGAUUGUGUCCAAAAGACUAGGGUUUUUCUACAGUUUGGAACAAACAGACAGAGGCAAUGCAGUGUUUAAUGACUGUUCUGAAAAAAUAAUGAUAUUGUGUGGCGAAGGAGACUCUCACAGCCAAAAGUUAUGAAAGAGAGCCACACUCUAUAAAUUAUAGCAAAUUUGGGAACAUAUUAGGGUGAAGGGA